AGUGAACGCUGGCGGUAGGCCUAACACAUGCCAGUCGAACGGCAGCACAGUAAGAGCUUGCUCUUACGGGUGGCGAGUGGCGGACGAGUGAGGAAUACAUCGGAAUCUACUUUUUCGUGGGGGAUAACGUAGGGAAACUUACGCUAAUACCGCAUACGACCUACGGGUGAAAGCAGGGGAUCUUCGGACCUUGCGCGAUUGAAUGAGCCGAUGUCGGAUUAGCUAGUUGGCGGGGUAAAGGCCCACCAAGGCGACGAUCCGUAGCUGGUCUGAGAGGAUGAUCAGCCACACUGGAACUGAGACACGGUCCAGACUCCUACGGGAGGCAGCAGUGGGCAAUAUUGGACAAUGGGCGCAAGCCUGAUCCAGCCAUACCGCGUGGGUGAAGAAGGCCUUCGGGUUGUAAAGCCCUUUUGUUGGGAAAGAAAAGCAGCAGGUUAAUACCCCGCUGUUCUGACGGUACCCAAAGAAUAAGCACCGGCUAACUUCGUG
RNAcentral lists this ribosomal RNA (492 nucleotides) under uncultured bacterium. Its description in RNAcentral is "partial 16S ribosomal RNA". It matches the Rfam family "Bacterial small subunit ribosomal RNA", at positions 29 to 507 of the family's 1533-position model. The record is from RNAcentral.